UGCACACAUCUUCUUCUCCAAGGUUUGUGUGCAGAACAUCCUGCCCAUGCUGCCCCAGCAGCUUCAGUUGGCACCUGCCUCAGUCCAGCCUCUGGGAACCAUGCAGCAGCUCCCAGCGGCCCUGCACCCACCACCAGCAUCCGUUUCACCUGCAGUUGAAGAUCCGUGAGGUGCCCAGAAGAUCAUGCAGUCAUCAGUCCCACGGAGCAGCCUGCGAGGCUGAGGCUCCUCCCACUGGACCGCCCCCCAACUGGCACCACUGCUGCCCCUGCCCCUACUCUCAGCCUCACGUGACUCUCGGGCAGAAGCACUGGUGGGGCAGCCAGGGCAGCGUCAAGAGUCUGAGCCAGCUGCAGGACAAGUUCGAGCAUCUUAAAAUGAUUCAACAGGAGGAGAUAAGGAAGCUCGAGGAAGAGAAAAAAAAACUGGAAGGAGAAAUCAUAGAUUUUUAUAAAAUGAAAGCUGCCUCUGAAGCACUGCAGACUCAGCUGAGCACCGAUACAAAGAAAGACAAACAUCCUGAUCCAUAUGAAUUCCUCUUAUUAAGAAAAAUAAAGCAUCCAGGAUUCAAUGAAGAACUGACUAUCACCUUGUUAAUCAUUCAGAAACAUGUUGCAGGCUUAAGCCAUUUUUGAUAUAGAUACUGAAACAAUUACUUGCUAAGAGCAAACUUGAAGGUAUGGAUAAGGCCCUGAGUCAUCUUCCUGAGCUGAAUGAUAGUUAAGCUGAAUUAACAAUUUGGACAAGACAGCAAAUGCUAUUGUCCAAGUUUUCUAAAGAAGAAUCUGAAGUGAAAUGACAUCAAGAGACCUAUCAAGACCUGUAUCCAGGAAAAGACCAAACCAAUGCAGACCAAACCAAUGCAGAACUCCUAUGUGCUGAUGGUGGUCUUACAUUUCCCUAAGUUUCUGCCGACUAAACUGUGCACACGUUCUCAGGACCUCCUGAAGCUGCGUCACAGGCACUAAUCAAAGAACACAACCAAGAGUUUGGCCUUUUCUUCAGCACUGGGAAUUGUGAUCCAAAGCUUUUCCCGAUGAAGCACAAAGUUGGAGAAAAAAAAACGCAAACUAAACAACCACAAUGAAACAGAACAGAGUUAAUCUGCUGUAGCUCAAGAGAGGAUGUACCUGCCCCCACCCCGCAUCCCUGGGCUCGGGUUUGCCUUGCUGACCUCUGCUGCCACCUGGUGCCACACAGAGAAACUGAGGAGAAACCACAUCAGUCUCCUUCAGCCUCAGCUUCACAUCUGUGGGUCAAGCAACCCUUUCAGAAGCUGUAUAAUGUGGGAAAGCUUUCCUCUCAGGAAAAUGCACACAUCCAACUUUGAGAAGAUGCCCUUGGGGGCGCUUCAAGGAUUCUAGAUAAUAACCCCCUUUCCCGAACAUCCAAGAACCUAAGAUUUUUUUUUUUUUGAGAAAGUCUCGCUCUCUCUCCCAGUCUGGAGUGCAGUGGCGUGAUCUUGGCUCACUGCCAGCUCCACCUCCCAGGUUCACGCCAUUCUCCUGCUUCAGCCUCCCAAGUAGCUGGGGCUACAGGCACCUGCCACCAAACCCGGCUAAUUUUUUUGUAUUUUUAGUAGAGACGGGGUUUCACCGUGUUAGCCAGGAUCGUCUUGAUCUCCUGACCUUGUGAUCCACCCGCCUCGGCCUCCCAAAUUGCUGGGAUUACAGAUGUGAGCCACCGCACCUGGUCCAAGAACCCAAGUUUUAGAUCUAGAGUGAUGUCAGCAUGACAUUGAUUUCCUGAGGCCCAGGGGCGAAGGAGCUGAGGACAGCAGAGGGGUGAAGGAACUCAGCUACAGACAGCAGCAGCUGAUGCACAGGCCUCCCAGCGCCUGAAGUCACCCGGAAUUGGGAAGUGCUCAGAAGCUUACAAAGCUGCCUCGAGGUGGGAACAUGACAUAAAUCCAAGAGCAGAUCCCUGAUCCUAUAAAAAUGUACUAGAUGCAGUGGGGGCAUUUUAAAUGAGCAGAGAAGGACAGACAGAUAAACAGAAGGACAAACAGUAUUGGGAUUGGGAUAAAUGCUCAGCUUUUGCCCAAAUCUUAGUGACUUAAGCAUCACUUAUUUGCUCACGAUUCUGUGGCUGGACCAUUUGGUUUGGCUCACAGGGCAGGGACUGUGCUGGUCUUACCUGAGCAGACCUGCAUGUCUGCGGUCAACUGGGUUGGCAGAGACAGAGUGACUGUCUUCCUCCAGGAAGCAGCAGGUUAACUGGUUGGCAGAGACAGAGGGACAGAGGGACUGUCUUCCUCCAGGAAGCAGCAGGUUAACUGGUUGGCAGAGACAGAGGGACAGAGGGACUGUCUUCCUCCAGGAAGCAGCAGGUUGGCUCUGUUUCCUUCGUGGGGCAGCUGGUCUCCAGGGCAGCAAGAGAGACCAAGCCCCAGUGCACAUUCUACAGCCUCUGUGCACAUCAGACUUGUUAAUAUCCCAUUGGCCAGUGUAAGUCACUUGGCCAAGCCCAGAUUAAGGAGUGGAAAGAUGGAGGCUAUCUCCUCCUGGGAGAGGAGGCAAAGGAGGUGGGAGUAUUAUGUGGCCACUUAUGUUUGCAAUCUACCAUACUUAGCACUUUGAGAAAAGAAUUAACUGAGAAACUUGCUUCAAAUAGGGCCAGUAAAAUGAAGCCCCAAUUGAAGUAAAAUGCAUAUAUAAAAAAUGAAACUGUGACCGAUUUUAAGGACAGUAUUGGCAAAUAUUUCUGUGCUCUUGGAGGAGAAGACCCUUAUUGGCAUGACAUGUCAGAAACCACAAUGAAAGAAUUAUUUUAACUUGCAUUCAUAAAAAUUAAAAUUAUUCAUUAAAAACAUCGUGAAUGAAAUUAAAAGUCAAAAUGUAAGCCAGAAAAUUAUUUACAACGUAUGUGUCAGGAAAAGACAAUACCCUUCAAACUUUGAGAGUUUACAUCAGAAAGAAAACAGCAAAUGACAUGAUCCAAACUUGAUAAAGGACAUGAAAAAGAGCCAGCACUUAGUAUGUUUUCUGAAUGAAUAAGUAGCCAACAGCACAUGAAAAUGCGUGUAAUCCAUUUGUAAGCAGAGAAAUGCAAACUAAAACAGUAAAGUGUCAUUUUCACUUCCUGG
This 3085-nucleotide long non-coding RNA is filed under the name Homo sapiens (human). RNAcentral's name for it is "PREDICTED lncRNA (TCONS_00012649)". Lineage: Eukaryota; Metazoa; Chordata; Mammalia; Primates; Hominidae. The record is from RNAcentral.